AUGCUCUUUCGGCGUACCGGGAUUAUCUCUCUGCUUACACUCAGUGGUGCAAUGAUGAUGCUCGUGCUGCUGCUGUUUCUUACUGCCAGUGUCCUCCCUCAGUUUGCUUCGGGGUUCAUGGGACUUGGCACAGUUGCAGCGAUGUGGUCUUAUAUUUGUCAGCGCUAUCAGCCCUCUGGUGAUGCUCUCUAUCUCUCUGUAGUGCGUCAGGAGCACGCCCUCCAGCAAGGUGAUUCCUCUGUUGAUGAGUUCUAUUCACAGUGCUCUGCCAUCUGGCGUCAGCUUGACUCUCUUCGGACAGUUGUUUGUGGCACCUGUCGUUGCUGUCAGACUACUCGGUAUGAUCUGGAGUUUCAGCGGGUCCAUGAGUUCUUAUCUCGUCUCCGCUCUGAGUUUGAGCCCAAACGUGCUCACUUGCUUGCUCGAGGUCGUGUUCCAAUCUCGGAGGUGCUUGCUGAGCUUCGUGCUGAGGAGACCCGCCUCCGCUCUGCUGGUUUGCUGGUGGUCCCGUCUGUGUUGGCUGCUCGAGCUCCUGUGUCGUCUGCUCGGAUCACCACUCCACCGCUCCUCCCCACACCUUCAGGGGGGUGA
RNAcentral lists this ribosomal RNA (591 nucleotides) under Triticum aestivum (bread wheat). Its description in RNAcentral is "partial small subunit ribosomal RNA". The record is from RNAcentral. Lineage: Eukaryota; Viridiplantae; Streptophyta; Magnoliopsida; Poales; Poaceae.